UACAGAGACUGCAAGCGUUAAUCGGAAUUACUGGGCGUAAAGCGUGCGCAGGCGGUUGUGCAAGACAGAUGUGAAAUCCCCGGGCUUAACCUGGGAAUUGCAUUUGUGACUGUACGGCUAGAGUGUGUCAGAGGGGGGUAGAAUUCCACGUGUAGCAGUGAAAUGCGUAGAGAUGUGGAGGAAUACCGAUGGCGAAGGCAGCCCCCUGGGAUAACACUGACGCUCAUGCACGAAAGCGUGGGGAGCAAACAGG
Molecule: ribosomal RNA, 253 nt
Filed under: uncultured bacterium
Lineage: Bacteria
Description: partial 16S ribosomal RNA
Rfam family: Bacterial small subunit ribosomal RNA
Source: RNAcentral